CCAUGUCAGGGUCAAAAGGUACAAAUCCGAUUGUGCUUGCACAAAGAGGAUUUGGAACUUGGGACCCGCAAAACACGAGCACGUAGCGCUGUUGCGCGGAGUGCGAGUGUUUUAGAAUCGCGAGAGCUGCGAAGCAGCGAAGCGAUUCGUGACAUUG
RNAcentral lists this small RNA (157 nucleotides) under Lachnospiraceae bacterium. Its description in RNAcentral is "Clostridiales-1 RNA". It matches the Rfam family "Clostridiales-1 RNA". The record is from Rfam by way of RNAcentral. Lineage: Bacteria; Bacillati; Bacillota; Clostridia; Lachnospirales; Lachnospiraceae.